AGCGAACGCUGGCGGCAGGCCUAAUACAUGCAAGUCGAACGGAUCCUUCGGGAUUAGUGGCGGACGGGUGAGUAACACGUGGGAACGUGCCCUUUGGUUCGGAACAACUCAGGGAAACUUGAGCUAAUACCGGAUAAGCCCUUCGGGGAAGGAUUAUCGCCAUUGGAACGGCCCGCGUCUGAUUAGCUAGUUGGUGGGGUAAAGGACCGUACCAAGGCGACGAUCAGUAGCUGGUCUGAGAGGAUGANCAGCCAGACUGGGACUGAGACACGGCCCAGACUCCUACGGGAGGCAGCAGCAAGGAA
RNAcentral lists this ribosomal RNA (305 nucleotides) under uncultured bacterium. RNAcentral describes it as "bacterial SSU rRNA". It matches the Rfam family "Bacterial small subunit ribosomal RNA", at positions 29 to 361 of the family's 1533-position model. The record is from RNAcentral.